GUAUCCGAAACGUUCGUUUUUAUUGAGCGGGAGUAAAACUCAGGAAACCACCUAAAAGUUGUUUUUUAAAACCCCAACUAGAACAUGCCGAGUUAAAAUAGGCGCAGUCGGUAGGAUUACCCUAUCAUUAUGGUAAUCCGUGAAACGUACCUGCGUGAAAACGAUUAUCCUAUGCAAAAGCACAUCGGACGGACGUAGUGCAAAAAAUUAUCCUUCUUAAAAGGAUAAAGAAAAAAUAGUGCAAAGGAGGCAAGAAACCAAAUAUUCAAAUUAUAAAUAUUAACAAGCAAAUAACACAAAGGCAAGCAGAAAACCAGGAAGAUGAACCCGGUGGGAAACGCACCAGUAAAUGACGGCAACCUUAGGUCAAUGGACAUCAACCCUUUGACUUAUUUGGAAAAUUUAAGAGAAUUUGGUGGGAGAAAGGAUGAUCUAAACACAACAUAAGUGUAUGAACAUUGUUAAAUCGAAAUUCGCCGGAAGAGCAAGGAGAGCCAUGGAAGUCCAUCCUCAUCUAACAGCAUGGAAAAGACAUGCUAUUCACAAAUUUUAGAGGUUUUUCAACAAAAGAGCAGUUUACCAGAAGUUGAGAGAAGCUCAGUGUAAGAGACACCAUUGAGUUUUACUAUUUUAUCCAACAUAAAUUGGGUAUAUUAAAUCGAAGAUGGACUCUUGUUUGAACCGUUGAGUGGAGCGGACGUAUUGUUAUUUCACUUCAUAAUAAUUUUCCUGUAACUCGUAAUAGGUCAUUACUUUUGGAAGAAAAAUUUAAGUCACUCAAGGAUAGCUGCGAUAGAGGUAUCCACUAGGCGGUUGAUGAUCUGCGUCUGUUUCCAGUGGAGCGGCAGAUCUAGAGCCCUGGAGUAGGCUUAGAAUGAACUCCAAAGAUCCAACAGCUGCGGCGGUGGUAUCAGGUCGUAGCAUGUUGUUUUCUACUGAAACCUCGACUGGUGGAGCGGCUGCUCCUGGCUCCACAGACGACUGGUCAGCAGAGGCUAUUAACGAAGACACCUGGUACGAGUCUAAAGGACAAGGUCGAACCCACUCUUUUUUCGCAUGCCUAUAAUUUGCCUAGGCCAUCAGCCUUCCUCGGCAAACCAACACGCUCUUUAAGAGGUUGGAAUAAUAGAAGAUGCAUCGCUCUCAGGUUUAUUGAGAGGCUUGGUGUGAAUGAUCCGUAGACACUCACUAGUAGGGAGAGAGACUCCCAAAAAUGAGCUCGCACAGGCUACCCCAAAGACUACACGUCAAGAUUCGGAAACUGCACAGCAGUCUGCCAAAAGGCUGCGGUCAUCUGGAGGGCAUCCCAUGCCUAAAAGAACUAGGGCGAACAACAGUAAGAUGGGUCCAAUAACCUUUUGUAAUGUCGCUAUGGAACGUUUGGUGAUGGCAGUUGUUUACAAGGGAGAAGAACAGGGCUGCAUGCUUAGGAAUAAUUGUAGUGGGAUAGUCAAUGGUUUGUUUGUCCUUGCGGAAUUUCCUGGAUGUUCUUCAGUUUGUGACGAUGCAGUCUGGUGUCGAGGAUGAUACAGACUAAUUGCCUUCGGCGAUCAAUGCUCAAUUGAAAGGUAUCGUUGUGCGGUAAAAAAGAUGGGUGAGAUCUGGCAAGGUGCAGCACUAGAUUUAGUCGAGAAGAAAGAUAUUUCUUCUUGACCAAUGGAGUAUGCUUGGAUACCAAGGAUUUCCUCAGAGCGGGAAUCGAUAUUUGGAAGACUAAGGGAAUGUAAUCCCAAUCUUUCAACCACCGACUGAAAGAUUAGUAGAUUGGAUGAGGCUGAUGGUGACCGGAUACAUGCAGUAUUCGUACUAAACUCCGUCUGUCUCGCAGACCCCAAUAAGUCUGAAGGGGUUGUAUUCUACGGAUUCAGCAAGUUGAAACUGAAGGUCUAUACAAGCGGUGGGGUUUGGGAAUCAGGAGAUGACUGGCGGAUUGCAGGAGACUGAAAAUCCCCCUGCCAGUAUCGAGACAGGAGCGGAUGGCUUCGAAACGGGACCCGAUAAGCCCUGUGUGGGUGGGUCAUCCAGUUAAACUGGGGUCAAGGUGUACGCCAGCGGGGAAGCACGGAAAGUACAAAAAGUAUUUCCCCAGCAGCAGCUAGUGAAGCAUCUAAGGAGCAAUAAGGACCGCAAGUGUCCAGUGUCCUGAGGAAGAGUGGUAACACAGCUUUCUCACAUGCCCCUGGAUGCGUACGGUAGCUCAUCAUGACAAGAUCUAAAUAAUCUUGUGAGAAUGAACUCCUGGUGGAAUCACUAGACGAGGCUAACACAACAGUGGUGGAAGUUCUGAAUCCUUACUAUGGUCUGGUUUUUACAGAUAAAUCUCCACCAUUAGAAGGCCGCUUCGGCGGCACUAAAAGUCCUCCCGAUGGCAGGGGGAUUUGACGUGGUUUUUAUCCUGGAACCAUGAGUGUGUGGAGGAAUGGUUCGUGGACUAAGAAUUCCGGGAUUUAAACUUCUCAAGGGUACGGGGAAUGGGAGAUACAGAGCCUAUAUUCUUGCAAAGAGUAGUCUAAAUGUUUUUCUUCUUCCGUCGCUAAGCACUGAAGAUUCAGUAGUAGCCAGCCGUGAAAUAAACAUGUCUCAUUACUGGUUGAAGCCUCUUCUGUAGGGAAGAAAAGCCUCAUUGUAGGCUUUUCUUCUCCCUCAGAUAUGGGGAAGUUCGGUGGUCAACGAAAGGGGUGAGCUGCUUAUUGAAAAUAUUAUAAUAAGUUGCAAUCUGGCGAUUUGUAAUAAAAGCGAUAAACCGACCUUUGUUAACAGGAACAGGCAAGAGGUACUAGAUAUUACAUUUGUAUGGGAAUAUAAAAGUGGAAGAAUAUGCGACUGGGAAGUGUUGGAUGACCACAGCUUUUCUGAUCAUCGCUAUAUUAGUUUCAGCCUUGGAGAAAAUACUGAAGUAAUGGUCCCUCAGCUAAACAGAAGAAAGGCGGAUUGGAAUACACUUCGGCACAAAAUUCUGCUCGUCUAUCCCUUCUAGACCAGAAAAGGAAGUGGAAACUAUGGAGGAUAUAGACAUAGUCGUCAAGUGGAUCACGUAGGCCCUGAAUGACUCGCUUGUGUCAGCAUGCCCUAGUGCCAAGCCACAAGAGCACCACACGAUUGGGACAUCUAUAAGGCUGAGCUAAGAAAACUACUCGUUGAUACCCAUUUCCCGGGAAAUUCUCCAAUAAACAACGUGGCGCCAGAGGAGGUUGUCACUGAUAUGCAUUCGUCGAAGGCUAUUAGGAAAAUUGUGUCUGAGCCGAAAAUCCUUUGGGCAAUAAGAAGUUUCGACUCCUUUAAGUCGCCAGGCCCUGAUGAUGUAUCGCCGGUUGAAUUACACAAUGUCGUAUAUACCAGUGGGAUAGAGGGACAUAAAGGUCAUUUUCAUUCCGAAAGCAGGAAAACCAUGCCACACGAAGGCGAAAGAUUUUCGUCUUCUUAGUAUGUCAUCCUUUAUGCUGAAGACUCUUGAGAGAUUGAUAGAAACAUAUCUUAGAGCAAAGAUCCCUGGAGAUCGCCUGUCGUGGCAGCAGCAUGCAUACAGUUAAGGCAAAUCCACUGAAACAGCCCUUUACGACCUAGUCGGCUACAUAGAGGGUUCUUUCGCUGUCAACGAAUAUACAAUGGUAGUAUUUCUUGACAUUGAAGGUUCUUUCAAUAAUGUAAAACUGACGUCAAUCAUGAAGGAGUUGGGGUUUCUAGGCAUCAACUCUACCGUAAGAAACUUAUUAAUAACUUACUUACUAAAAGAUGCAUUACGGCAGGCUUGGGAUCUGUGGAUCUAAAACGAUGGAUCAGCAGAGGAACUCCUGAAGGAGGUGUACUUUCUCCUCUACUUUGGAAUAUAGCCAUUAACAAAAUAUUUUUGUCUCUAGAAGAAAAAUGUGCCAAAGUGGUCGCGUUUGCUGAUGACGUGGUUAUUGCGGUUAAGGGAAAGUUUUCCAGCACUCUAAGAGAUAUACUUCAGGAAGCUGUACGUGCAACAGCGAAGUGGGCUACCAAAAGUAGUCUAGGUGUAAAUCCGUGCAAGGCAGAAGUACUUCUUUUCAGCAGGAGAGAAAAGUUGCCUACAGUGGAACCUAUCUUUAGGGUGGAGAGAAUGUUCCAUUUACAGAAAGUGCAAAAUACCUGGGUGUUUUGCUGGACAGGGAAUUGAACUUCAAAUCCAACAUUUUGGAAAGGGCAAGAAAGGCAACUUUUGCCCAAUACACCUGCAAGAGAGCCAUUGGCAAAAGUUGGGGAUUUAGAUCGCGCGUCAUGCAUUGGGCAUAUACUGCAGUUGUCAGACCUAUGAUGCUAUAUGGUGUUGUGGUCUGGUGCUUGAAAAGUCCACCUACUGCUCAAUACUUAACCGAAUCCAAAGGAUGGCUUGUUUGUGCAUCACAGCCGCACUUAGGACGACACCAUCUGAUGGAACUACGAUAUCCCUAGUAAUAGAAGUUUCAUAGACUUCUAUACGGAUGGUUCCAAACUAAACCACCAGGUGGGCUUUCGGGUGUACUCUAAAGAUCUAGAAUCGGUCAUAUCGAAAAGGUAACCUUACCACUGCAGUAUGUAUCAAGCGGAUAUCCUUGCAAUUAAGGAAAUAGUGAAAUGGCUAAGAUAUAAUGUCAUUACGACGAUUGGCAUAAAUAUCUUUUCAGACAGCCAGACAGUCAUUAAAUCCCUGGAGAACGUAUUUCUGAACACAAAAACCGUCCACGACUGUCGCAGAUCUCUCAAUGAGAUGGCGGAACAGUUCAAAACUUACCUGUUCUGGGUGCCGGGCAUAUCCCAGGGACUGUAAAACGGACGAGCUUGCAAGACUAGGAAUCUGUGGGUAUGCCUCUAGCGACAUGUAAGCUAUGUUUUCAGGACCAGGCCCGAAGAACAAAUGAUAGGAUAGAUGGUCACAGAGAGUGGGUUCUGAGCAUUCCAAAACUAUGUGGCCUAAUGAAGACUUGAAGAGGUCUACCGCUUUGUUGUCAUUGGCUAGAACAGACGUCUCCGUCAUUGUGUCCAUCAUGGCAGGUCGCUGUCUAAUCGGAAAACAUGCUGACAGACUGAAGGUUGCCAGCAACGAAUAAGAGAAUAAGAGACUAUAGAACACCUUCUGUGUGUGUGUCCCGCACUAGCAGUUACAAGGAGUUCCACUUUAGGUUCUCAUUUCUUUGAGAACCUGUCUGAUUUAGCGGAUGUGAACAUUCGCAAGUUAUUGAUCUUUUUAAAGCGAUCUGGAUGGUUCAGCGGUAGGAACUAGAGGGUUUCUUCUUUCUUCUGUUCCUGUGGUAUCACAAUGGACGAUAACGUCUAAGUGAGUCUGAUAGCAGACUGUCACUUAAACCUAACCUAACCUAAAUCGAAGAUGUGGACAUGAAGGCAGAAGGGGCGAAGUGAAUAGUAACAAACAAACGGUUCUAAAAACAUUUGUGACAAAUCUUCCAGUCCACAUGACAACUGUGUUGUGUGCAUUAAAACCAACAACCAUUGAAGAAGCUCUGCACGAAUUAAGCUUAGCAGGCUUCUUGAACCAAGAAAAGAAGCAAGACAAACCUCACUCCAGCAGUAAACAUCAGCAAUAUGCCGAAUGGAAGCCGAUAUUCGCACAUCCUGUAUAUAGGACACCAAUACAAUGGCAGAAGAAUUCAUCCCAACAAUGGCAGCCAACAUCACCUCAACAACAAUGGAAACAUAGGCCACCACAACAACAACAAUGGCAACCGAGGUACUUACAACGAAAACAACAAUAUUGGCAUCCAAGAUAUCCCCAACAACAAUAAAGGCAGCCACCACCUAAAUUCCAACAGAACCGAUGAUAGUAGAUGCAUCCCCACAGUUUAAAAGGCAAACCCACCAUCAGGAGAAGGAUAACAACAAGAAAGGUCUCUGGAAGUCCUUGCUGGCGAUUUUCCUGAUGAUAUCAUCAGUUGUAGCACAAAAACUCGAGGUAGUCGACCAUAGUAAAGGAAACUAGGAGAGCAAGUUUCACAUCUUAAUGAUUUAUACUUACAACAUGAAAUAGAUCACAUCAAUUUACGACUUAAGAGUAUAAUACCUCAUCAUACAAGGAAUAAAAGAGGUUUAAUAAAUAUAUAAGGAACAGGUUUAAAAUAUCUUUAUGGAACAGUGGAUAAUAACGAUAGGGAAGAGGUCAAGGGAAUAUUAAAGGUUUUAGAGAUAAACGGGCACAAUUUGAUAACACAAAAUUAUAAUCAGAUACAUAUCAACACCCAAUUUGACAAUCAAUUAACUAAUUUGACAAAAUUAUACAAUGAACAAACUAGAUUAUUAAUGAAAAGUGUUUUAAAUAUUAAAUUAUAUAACAAGAAUACAGCAAGAAUUGACAAAAUGUAUUACCUAAAAUACCAAAUUGAUCACAUGAACAUCCUGAGUGAUGAAGAAAUUAAAAUAUAUAUAAUAUAACCUUAGAUAAAAUGAAAGAAAUAAAGAUGAAUCUAGCCAUUUACCGAUGCAAUAUUUUAUUUAUAUUAAAAAUACCUCAUUUUAAUCCUAAAAUAUUUCAAGAAAUGUAUUUCCCACCUAAUAAAAAUAAGAUGCAAAUUGAUAUUGUGAACAAAUUAUAUAUUACAAAGAACAAUAAAAUAUAUUAUGAUGUAAGUGAAACAACAAAUCUUAAAGAAAUUGAAGAAGAAUAUAUUUCCAAUUUAUUUAGUUAUAAGCAAAUGAAAAGCCAUUACGUUAGAAACACCAAAACACAAAUUUUUGAGAUUGGAAAAAAUAUAAUAAUUGCAAUAAAUUGCAAUAAACCAAACCGGAUAAUUAAUGAUACCUGUAAUAAUUAUCUAUUAAAUUUAUCUGGAAAUCAUUUAAUGAUCAUAGAAAAUUGUAAAGUGAAAUUAGAUAAAUGGUAUGAUAAAAGAGUAUUGCAAAAAAAAAAUUAAUUAUCCCAAAUCCCAAUAGAGACGUCCAUUUGUUGUUAAAUGACACCUAUGAUUCUUUGGAUAAAUUGAUUCAAACAGAAAGCAACUAAUUAUAUUGUAUUAACGUUAAUAAUUGUAAUUAUAUUCAUUAUAUCAUUAUGUUUUUAUGUAAAAUACCAACCAAAAUCAAGUAAUGUGAAUUUAGGUGUUAAUACACCCUUUCCCGUAGCUCCUUUAGAUCACGGGCAAGAGUCUUCGUCCGGGGGAGUUAUAACCCAAAAUAAAAUACCCUUUCAAUAGUGACUCAUUCAUCAGAUGUUCAUAUUACAACAUGAUCAUACGAUGAUCAUCCUUAUGAUGACUCAUCCAUCAGAUAGUCAUAUUACACCAUGUUCAUACGACGGUCAUAUUCACAACAUAUAUAAAUCUCUUUCAGAUAGUUAUAUUACAGCAUGAUCAUGCAAUGAUCAUAUUCAUAGGAAUCAUAUUAUGUAUCAUUAUAAACAUAUUUAGCACAAACACAGAUAUCAUAUCCAAAGCCAAUCAUAGAAUAAUAACAUUAUGCUAAGAUUGAAUAAAAAUUACCAAUAAAGAAUAGUUCUAUUCUAACGGCCAAAGUA
This is a long non-coding RNA of Stomoxys calcitrans (stable fly), 7462 nucleotides long. RefSeq lists it as uncharacterized. Lineage: Eukaryota; Metazoa; Arthropoda; Insecta; Diptera; Muscidae. The record is from RefSeq and is a predicted model, not a curated record. The transcript is spliced from 3 exons.